RNAcentral lists this ribosomal RNA (207 nucleotides) under uncultured bacterium. RNAcentral's name for it is "partial 16S ribosomal RNA". It matches the Rfam family "Bacterial small subunit ribosomal RNA", at positions 568 to 774 of the family's 1533-position model. The record is from RNAcentral.
CUCGUAGGCGGUUCGUCGCGUCCGGUGUGAAAGUCCAUCGCUUAACGGUGGAUCCGCGCCGGGUACGGGCGGGCUUGAGUGCGGUAGGGGAGACUGGAAUUCCCGGUGUAACGGUGGAAUGUGUAGAUAUCGGGAAGAACACCAAUGGCGAAGGCGGGUCUCUGGGCCGUCACUGACGCUGAGGAGCGAAAGCGUGGGGAGCGAACA